CCAACUGCCAAUCCGGUGCCCAUUCCCAUCUUUCCACUACGCUUCUGAUCAUAAUUAGGAGGAUAAUCAGCAGGAGCGCUCGGCCUCGACCCCAGCCCCCCACCAUAGCUAGAUUGCCGCUCAAUGAAUGGUCGAGGAGGAGGUGGUGGUGGCUGAGAGUAGUACCCAGGGUAGUAACUGGAGUACGGAUCAGAGUAGCCGCCGUAAGGAUACAAAUGCGCCGGAGGAGGCGGUGGAGAUGGAGAAGCAGGUGGCGGUGGUGCCACUACAGGCAGCGGAGGAGGAGGAGGGUGUGAGGAGUACGGAGAAGGAGAAUAUGAUCUAUAGGAAGGCGGCGGCGGAGGGGCAGUAGAGUAAUAAUAGCUAGAUGGAGGGGGU
RNAcentral lists this long non-coding RNA (378 nucleotides) under Nicotiana tabacum (common tobacco). Its description in RNAcentral is "long non-coding RNA (NTAB_LNC001300)". The record is from RNAcentral. Lineage: Eukaryota; Viridiplantae; Streptophyta; Magnoliopsida; Solanales; Solanaceae.